CCACCGGCUUACUUCGUGCCAACAGCCUCGGUAAUACUAAGGGUGCAAGCGUUAGUCGGAAUUACUGGGCGUAAAGCACGCGUAAGUGGUUUGUUAAGUUGAAUGUGAAAGCCCCGGGCUCAACCUGGGAACUGCAUCCAAAACUGGCAAGCUUCAGUAUGGCAGAGGGUGGUGGAAUUUCCUGUGUAGCGGUGAAAUGCGUAAAUGUAAGAAGGAACACCAGUGGCGAAGGCGACCACCUGGGCUAAUACUGACACUGAGGUGCGAAAGCCUGGGGAGCAAACAGGAUUAGAUACCCUGGUAGUCCACGCCGGAAACGAUGUCGACUAGCCGUUGGGAUCCUUGAGAUCUUAGUGGCGCAGCUAACGCAUUAAGUCGACCGCCUGGGGAGUACGGCCGCAAGGUUAAAACUCAAAUGAAUUGACGG
This 427-nucleotide ribosomal RNA is filed under the name uncultured bacterium. Its description in RNAcentral is "bacterial SSU rRNA". It matches the Rfam family "Bacterial small subunit ribosomal RNA", at positions 488 to 916 of the family's 1533-position model. The record is from RNAcentral.